GAUGAAGAACGUAGCGAAAUGCGAUAAGUAAUGUGAAUUGCAGAAUUCAGUGAAUCAUCGAAUCUUUGAACGCACAUUGCGCCCCCUGGUAUUCCGGGGGGCAUGACUGUCCGAGCGUCAUUACAACCCUCAAGCUCAGCUUGGUGUUGGGCCCCGCCGCCCCGGCGGGCCCUAAAGUCAGUGGCGGUGCCGUCCGGCUCCGAGCGUAGUAAUUCUUCUCGCUCUGGAGGUCCGGUCGUGUGCUCGCCAGCAACCCCCAAUUUUUUUCAGGUUGACCUAGGAUCAGGUAGGGAUACCCGCUGAACUUAAGCAUAUCAAUAAGCGGAGGA
This 329-nucleotide unclassified non-coding RNA is filed under the name soil metagenome. RNAcentral's name for it is "partial contains 5.8S ribosomal RNA, internal transcribed spacer 2, and large subunit ribosomal RNA". The stretch from base 1 to 120 matches the Rfam family "5.8S ribosomal RNA", at positions 35 to 154 of the family's 154-position model. The record is from RNAcentral.